Crotalus tigris (Tiger rattlesnake) is the source of this 6642-nucleotide long non-coding RNA. RefSeq lists it as uncharacterized. The transcript is spliced from 2 exons. The record is from RefSeq and is a predicted model, not a curated record. Lineage: Eukaryota; Metazoa; Chordata; Lepidosauria; Squamata; Viperidae.
GGCGCUGGGUCAAGAGGGCCGGCGCUGGGGAGGAAGGGGCGGCCCAGCUCGGAGGAGAGCCACGCCUCUCCCUUCGGCUGCACCUGAGGAGUCUGGGCUGCCUCGAUGGUGCAUGAGGGCGGCUGCCUACAAAUUGCUUCUCGGGAAGCGGGAGGCCGCUGGAAUGAAACUGUUUGAGGCGCUAAAACCACAGAGUGCUUCCUUCAUUUCUGUGGUUGGGUGAAUGUGGUUUGAGAAUUGUAGUCGAAUCCACCUAAAUGGAUCGAACUGGACUUAACGUCCCUGUAAAGUUGGUGCUGUUGUUUUCCAUUAAAGAAGCAUAUCUGAUAUAUCAGAGCUUUGUUUCCUCAUUAUUAUGAAAAUACUGACAUGGCAAUUAGAAGAUAGAUUGCUACAUUAUGUCUUACUAUCUACAAAUCAUGAAUAAUUUGAACAUAUUGACUAAGGUAUAACUUUCUCUUGCUUACCGCUAACUGGUUUUUCCAGUCUCAAUUAGGUAAAACAAUUUUUGUUGUCCUGUUUGUUCAUUAGUUCUCUUCUCCCAUUCAUUUGAAUUGGUAUUUAGAAUGCCAUAUUAUGCCUAGUCCAAUAGAUCUUGCAAGCAUAGAUAAUAUCUGUUUUAAAAUUCUGAAGCAGUUCUAAAAUUGUCUAAUUCUUCAAAAUUGGAGAACGGUUUAUGUAAAAGGAGGUGUUAAAUGCACUCCUGUCCUAGAUAGGGCCAAUUUCACAUUCAGUAACAAUUUAUUUGAAAUAUGAGCCCUGUAAUACACCCUGAGCCUUUUAAAUUGGGCUUGGAAAGCAAGUAAGGAGGAAUAGGUGGUUAAUCAGUUAAAGCUAGAGACAGUAAGGGGAACUUUUAUUCAGUAUCAGCUCUGGAAGAAGGAAGACCCCCCAGACUAUGAAUCUGUUCCUUAAAGAAGAAUAUAGAGCUAUUAAAUAACUUAAGAAACAGAACAGAACUUUGCAAAAUGCAGCUCAAAAUUCAGGAGGCCAGGCAGAUGUUAGGUAUUAUCCCUGUUAGCACCCAAAUAAAUAAGGGUAGAAACAAAAAUACUACUCCUAGUUUACUCAGCUGCUCCAAAAAGAUACCACUGUCAAUGGCAACAAAGGCCACUGAUAUACCUAAUGGUAUCAGUAGAGUCAUAGUUUGCUCUAGACAACUAUCUAAUGGGUAACCUUGGCUUUUCUGUGCCAAAUACAAACCUAAUCCCACAUUAAAAGGUUUUGAUAUCUAUUUCCUACUAUUGUUUCUGGAGCCACAACACCACUGCAUUUGUUUAUGGUUUGACUAAAUAUGGAAUAUUGGACACUGGGCUCCACUUGUUCAGAUUAUCAAACUUGUUGUUUAGUGGGUUGUUAUGGAGCAUUAUUUCAUUGUUGAAAAUUGUAACAGAUUUAGAACAAAAUCUCUGAGCAAAGAGGGACAGAAGGUUAUGUGUGCAUGGACAGAUAUGUGCCUGUGCCCUGAUGUGGCCUUUGAGGUCUGAAAAAUUGGAGUUAUUAUGCAUUUGAGAUAAGUGUGCAGGACAAUUUGGAACAAAACCGCUGAAAUAUGGAAAGAGUAUAAGAUACCCUUUUUAAUAUAGCCUCUAAUGGGGAGGAGUAGCCUUUUUAUAUAAUGAGAUCAGAGGCUUUAAUAUAAUUGAGGGAGGUAGAAUUGGAGAACUGAAUGACGUGAAUGGGAAUGUAUACAAUAGAAAGUAAAAGUUAGAAAAGGCAAGCAUAGGUGCAUUGAUGAACUAAAAUGUGGGCUUUGAUCUUGAACACAAAUAUAUAUAGAAAACCAGAAGAGAGAUUUUGAUUUCAAAUAAUUUUCAGGUUACAAUGGAUGUCCCUGGUAAUGAACACAACACUAGGAAGGCCAGGAAGGACUUGGAAAAUCCAGCGCAAGCCACAGACAAGUAGAGGGAGAAUGGGAGAGGGCUAGGGAAGAACUGCAGAGGCUGCGCAUGGGCAGGUAUGUGUGCUAUGGAUGGGAGAAAUUUACUGUAAUAAUUGGUGACUUUCCCUGCCAGGUUUUCCAAUUACUUUGUGGGAAGCCAGCUGGGAAGGUUGCAAAUGGUAAACAUGUAUUGCAGCUCCUUGCAAUGUCAAAAUCAUGAGCUGAAUGCCCAGAUUGUGAUCACAUGAUUGUGUGGGUAUUGUGAUUGUCAAAACGUCAAGGAUCAGUUGUAUGUCCAUUUUUUCUGCACUACUGUAACUUUGAAUAGUUGCUGAGUGAAUGGAUGAAAGCUGAAGACUGCUUAUAGUCUUGUAGUAUGAAUGAUGGAUGUGUUGGAUAAGUCUGUAAAUUUUGGAUAUAUAAAGGAUGAUGAACUUGCUUGGCAGUUACACAUAUUAAGCAUAUUUGUUUAUAUGUACUUUUUCAUAUUUAUAAUCUUAUAUUUGAAGUGUAUAAAUAUAUUAAUAUACUUCAAAAUAUUGAUUGAAAUAUUUACAAGCUAAAAUAUUCUGUGUAGAACUUUAAUUACAAUUUCUUGGAAGCGAUUCAUGUUGUGCAAUAUGUUUUAGCAAGUAGUCUAAACAAUCAAAUAUCUUCAUUUACAUGUAAGAACACAUGGAUUUAACUAGAUAUUUUAGAACAGGGUUCCCCAGUCUGUGAGCCACGGCCCAUUACCUGGCCGUGGCCUCUUGGUCACUGGGCUGCGUGAAUGGCUGGCUAGUGCACAUGCAUGUGUGUGUGCACGUCCCCCACUUGCGCUAGCGCUGCCCUGUCGCGCAGGUGCUAGCACUGCCCCCAUUUGUGUCGUGUUCACACUCGUACCACCCUGUUUGUGUCAUGCAUAUGCACUUGGCCCUGUGCCUGCCCCUCUCUUUCCCUCCAGGCCACCAACUACUCUAGAAGCUUCAGUAGAUUCUUCUAGAUAUUGCUUGUUCUGUAUAUAGACAACAUAGAAUUUUAAAGUACAUUAUGUUGCAUAUUUUGUGCACAACUUUUCCUGUAUGUAUUAUAUGGGAAGCCGGAUCACAGUACAUACAUUAAAGUGUGUUAAAAAACCAUUUCUUCACAGCCACUUUGGAAAAUUCCACCUUGUGAAUUAAAAUAACCUGCUAUUGAUUGUUUUUGACAACAUAAUUAGUUCUAUAAAAAUUACCCAUUUUCUGUUAAAAUCCAAUGAUAUGUGAUAUAAGGACAUAUGAAUUAACAUUUUCUAAAUAGAGACUAGUUGGUAUAUACCUUAACUUUUAGGUGACUGGAAAAAAAUACAAGCAUAUUGGGGAGUUUUAUUAAUACAUUCUUGCUGCAUGCACAACUAAUAGCUACUGAUAUCUGUCAUUUUCAUCAAUGUUUUUAAAAGGAUUUUAAUGUUCAUGAAUAUUUUUUUCUAAUUAGUUGCUUGGUAUAGAGAUGAAUGGCAUACAAAUUUAAUAAAUAAAAUAAUAAAUAAUUCAGUCUUCAGGUAUGUAGCAGUUAUAAUUAGCAGUAUAUUGGCAUGAACUGCUACAUGAUUUCUGUUAUUGUCAAUUUGAUAGACUUUUUAAAAAAUACAAUUCAGGAACUCAUUAGUAUGUAUGUGUGAUUAUUUAUUUGCUUGUUUCUAUUAAACAAUUUGAUUAUAAAAGUAUAACAAAAAAAACAGUAAUUGACUUUGAACUGCUUAUUUUAUUAUAUCCCUACUAUUGUGAAUAAAGAUAUCACUAAGAGCAAAGGUAAAAGCCAUAUAUUCUUAUGGUAACACUAAAUACAUUUUAUAUGUCAAUUAGCACGAUAUUUGAGAAAGCUUAUUGAAAAUGAAGAUUUUGAUUGUAGGACUAUAGAUUUAAACUUAUUCUUUAUUCUUUUAAAAUUAAAACAUUGCCUUGUUGCCUAAGCAGAUACAAGAUUGUUGGCUGAGCAGGUACAAAGACAGCCAGCGAAGUGAUUGAAGCCUGGGAAAUGGCCCCUUGUCAGUCAAAUGUGACUUUGUCUAAAUGUGAGAUCAGUUAAUAUUAUCUGUAUUAGGAGGGAUGAGAAAUUAAGCCUAAAAACAAAAACGUCUUAUGAAACAGUGCCAUAUUCUGUACUGAAAAUCUAGAAUUUUUUUAUAACUAUCUGUAUUUUAUCUAUGAAAAAGAAUAUUUUUGUGGAGAAGUUGUUCUUGAUUGUAUGUUAUUUAAUUAAAAAAUAAAGAGAAAAAAAUAGUGGAAGAUUUAGAAAAAAUAGAGCAAUAACAAAUAACAACUUUCCUUCAGGUUUCCCCAGGGAAUAUAACAUUAAAAGUUGGCCAGGUUAUUUUGGCACCUGAGGAGUGGAAAAUGUUUUCUUUCAAUAACACUGCAGUAAAAUAAAUAAUCAGCUGAGGUCAAAAAUAACACAAGAGGCAAUCCAUCAUGGUACUAAGACUUCAUUUUGGUGCAUUAAUACCUCUUGCUUUAUUUUGCUAGCUUCCUAAACUUUAAUAAAUAGGGAUUCAGUCACAUCCGCUUUGGUAGGAUGGACAUAUUUCUUCUUUUUAUUGUUUGUUCAUUUGGACUAAAAAUUAUAACACGUUUAGACAGUCUUAACUAAAUAUUUGUAACUUGUGUUUCUGUUGAAAAGGAUCUAUAAGGCAACUGAACAAUACCAGAAAAGCAUAACAACAUGCUAAAUGACCACAAAAGCACAUUCAGCCACCUAUUGUACACCAGAUAAUUAUUUCUUAAGAUGGAUGGGGUUUGUUCUGUUUUUCAAAGAUCAAAGCCAGCAUUUUGAAUUAAGAACUAAAGUAGCAGAUGCAAAAAGACUCUGCAUUAGUUUCCCUCAAAAACUGUGAACAAACAUGCAUGGCUGUCAAACUCAACACAAAAAUAGUUUUCCAGAGCUAUAGUUAUAUUAGUCUGUUGUAUUAUAAGCAGUUGUCUUAACUGCAUCCUUAACACCUUUGUGCACUGCAGUCCACAUCAUUGUAUUUCAUGAAGGGAUGGUAAGUCUCUGUGGUAUUUGAGGGCUUCUGAAACAGUGUGAUUAAGAUGAAGUGAAAUACAGAAACUACAGUCUUAGCUGAUAGAAACAGCUAUUGCACAGACAGUUGUUGGACAUCACAAAAGAAAUUUUCUCACUGGCCAGCUCAUUUACAUUUGGGCUUGUGUUAUAUACAAUGCUAUCGCUAAAUAUGGUUGUUUGAUUUGAUUUGGAGCAUGCACUACAUGUGGUCCUGGAAAGCUAGUAAUGUGAGCCCCAUAAGAUCAUAAACUUUUAACAUUAUUAUGUGAUUUACUGUAUAUGCAUUAAUUAUAUACUUUAUUAUAUAGAGCCCAAGAUUAUUCCUUUUCACCCAGUGCAGCCCAGGCAAGCUAAAAGUUGGACAUUGAUGGCUUAGAGAGAUGUAUAAUUCAAGCUAUUAAUUUUACAGGAGGGAUCUUACAUUCUUGUGAAAGUUCAGUUAAUUAUUAAAAAAGUGUUUGUGGUACCUGCAUCAUUUUGUAUAAUGCCUGAAAAAGAUGUCUACCUUUACGGCAACUAAGACCAAACCAAAAAAUGCUGACUUACCCAUUCUUUGUAGAAUGAAAAUAUGGCCGAUAGAUGGAUUAUCUCUUUUUUAUUUGUUUACUGUGCUUCUGAAUCUUGUGUUUUCAAAUAGGGUUAGUAUGAGGUAUAAGUAAGAACAAAAUAUUAAUAAAUAUUAAUAAUUGAUCUUUUCAGAUAAAAUGAGUGAUAGUCUAAUGUAGUUCUUAGCACUGUACAGAGACAACCUGAUUUGAAGGCAAAUAUAUGUGUCCCAGGAUAAUGAUGCGAGAUUGAAUUUGGAUCAGUCACCGGGACCAAAGAUUUUGGACUCAUGCUGGAGCCCAUCUUCAGGGAACUUCUCUCUACUGAAAUAUGUGCUUUGGGCUGUUCUGUGAGCUCGGAAGAGUAAAUCUCUGAUCUGACCCAAAUUCAAUCUCACAGCCUGAUUUGUUCAAAGGGCAGAUACAGGCCUCUAGUAAUAUUUUGUAAUAAUAAUUAAAUGUCCUAUAUUGAUUCCACAUAGAUUUACUGGAAUGUUUCCUGCCUUAAAAUAUGAUUUCUGAAGAAAUUAAGCAGGGACAAUUCCUUCUAUAGUAUUAAAAUUUUUAGGGCUUAUUUUUUUUUAAUUCUGUUUUUAAAGUGGUUGAGAUCCAGCUAUUGCAACAGAGAUAUUCCCCAUUUUAAUCAUCUGUCUUCUCAGCAGCCAACUUGCCACUCAGAACUUGUCCAAUCUGAGUGGCAAGACUAGAUUUCUUGAUAAUGCUACUGUGCAGACAUACUAGUUCAUGGCUCAAUGAAAAAUUAGAGCAAUAACAAAGCAGUUUGUGUGAGGAGGAAAUUAGAUACUGCAUUCUUCUUUCAAGGUCUACUUUGAUUUAGUUCUAUGUAGGAUUGCAGUCAUUUCAGAGUCUGACCAGACCUGUUAGAGAAAUCUUAUUCAGAAAAUUAUCUCUUUUGAUUAUAGCAGGUUUCCUAAAACUUCCAGUAAUCAUCUGUGAAUACUAUUUGAUGAAGAUCCUUUAUACCUUGCCAAUCAGCUCCUGCAUUACCCAAUCAGAAGCUUGCCCUCUAUACCCAACCUUUCAAAAAGGCUGAGAUAUUGCAAUAUGAUCAUAGGUCACUUCUUAGCAGAGGACAAAACUGUUAAUCUCUGAAUUCAAAGCUUCUUCCUUCUCCCUUGUCCAGCAAGCAUUUUACAUGUUCAGACACAUGUUUUGUAAAAAAAAAAAAAAAAA